RNAcentral lists this long non-coding RNA (640 nucleotides) under Ananas comosus (pineapple). RNAcentral's name for it is "long non-coding RNA (ACOM_LNC001915)". Lineage: Eukaryota; Viridiplantae; Streptophyta; Magnoliopsida; Poales; Bromeliaceae. The record is from RNAcentral.
GAAAAGGGCGCUUCCUGUCUUGGCUCUGCCCCGGUGCCAUAGUUCACUCCUGGACGGGUGUAACUCCAUGUCCCACCAAGAGUGCCUGCUGCACAGAUGCUCCUGUCUCAACGCCUGACCACUGAGUGAUAAUCUCAUAAAUCCUCUGCAAUAGUACACUCUGCUGCUUAAUCACCUCUGUCAGGGUAGCCAACUGCUCUCUCAAAUCAGGAGGUGCACUUGCCUCCGGUUGUGCACUCAGCUCUGCCUGGUCAGGCAUCUCUAGCGGUGCGACUUGAUCCCUGGUCGACGGUCAACCUCGGCAGCGAUCUGAAAGAAACAGAACGGGUUCAGAUACAACUCAACCACUCUUGACCCAAUCAACGAAAGUCUAGAAGGCAGCCCCUGUUUUCCUCUAAAAUUAUGUUGUCUGCAGCCAACAUAAUUUCUCAGGCCAAAAUAGGUACUCCUUCAAUCACUCACCCCACUCUCGGAGGAGUUAGAACAACUAAUCAUUGACUUUCGCAAUUAGAUUACGCCUCUCGCGUCUUGCUUUCCUAAGGUUUUCCAAACUUAGGUUCUCUAGGUCCCAACGACCUAAUGCUAAGCUCUGAUACCAACUUAAUCUGUCACGCCCCGGAUUACACGUUCCCCGGGCACG